RNAcentral lists this long non-coding RNA (313 nucleotides) under Phoenix dactylifera (date palm). Its description in RNAcentral is "long non-coding RNA (PDAC_LNC006196)". The record is from RNAcentral. Lineage: Eukaryota; Viridiplantae; Streptophyta; Magnoliopsida; Arecales; Arecaceae.
UACAAUCUUUGCAGGAUCAGCUUGACCAUAUUUCAUCUUUUUUUGCAGAGAUUUGCUCCUCCGGUACAUAACUAAAUAUAUUUGAAUAUUUUAUAUAAUUAUAAUGUAUUCUUGUAUGAGCGUGAUGACUUUCGUAUUUUUCUUGUAGGUUGAUGAUACUUCAUCUACUCGUAGAGAUGAUGAUGCCGUCGAUCCUUGAUACAUAUCGUAGAUUGUGUACUUAGGAAUUUGAGAUGUAUAUUUUUAGAAUGUUUUUGAAGUACAAUGUAAUCAAAUAUUAUAAUAUGAAUGUAAUCAAAGUUCUUGUUUGUGA